CCCUUAGAUGUCCGGGGCCGCACGCGCGCUACACUGAUGCAUUCAACGAGCCUAUCCUUGACCGACAGGUCCGGGUAAUCUUUGAAUCUGCAUCGUGACGGGGAUAGAUUAUUGCAAUUAUUAAUCUUCAACGAGGAAUGCCUAGUAGGCGCAAGUCAUCAGCUUGCGUCGAUUACGUCCCUGCCCUUUGUACACACCGCCCGUCGCUCCUACCGAUUGGGUGUGCUGGUGAAAUGUUCGGAUCGGCCGUUUGUCGCGGUUUCCGCGUCAUGUGGCUGAGAAGUUCAUUAAACCCGCCCACCUAGAGGAAGGAGAAGUCGUAACA
This 325-nucleotide ribosomal RNA is filed under the name uncultured eukaryote. Its description in RNAcentral is "partial 18S ribosomal RNA". It matches the Rfam family "Eukaryotic small subunit ribosomal RNA", at positions 1470 to 1796 of the family's 1831-position model. The record is from RNAcentral.